UACGGAGGGGGCUAGCGUUGUUCGGAAUUACUGGGCGUAAAGCGCGCGUAGGCGGACCUGCAAGUCGGGGGUGAAAGCCCGAGGCUCAACCUCGAAACUGCCUUCGAUACUGCGGGUCUCGAGUCCGGGAGAGGUGAGUGGAAUUCCUAGUGUAGAGGUGAAAUUCGUAGAUAUUAGGAAGAACACCAGUGGCGAAGGCGGCUCACUGGCUCGGUACUGACGCUGAGGCGCGAAAGCGUGGGGAGCAAACAGG
RNAcentral lists this ribosomal RNA (253 nucleotides) under uncultured bacterium. Its description in RNAcentral is "partial 16S ribosomal RNA". It matches the Rfam family "Bacterial small subunit ribosomal RNA", at positions 524 to 776 of the family's 1533-position model. The record is from RNAcentral.